This 406-nucleotide ribosomal RNA is filed under the name Odontotermes horni. RNAcentral describes it as "partial 16S ribosomal RNA". Lineage: Eukaryota; Metazoa; Arthropoda; Insecta; Blattodea; Termitidae. The record is from RNAcentral.
UCAAAAACAUCUUUUCUUGUUAGUUUCUGAAGUAUGGCCUGCCCGCUGACGUAUUUUGAGUUGAAGGGCCGCGGUAUUUUGACCGUGCAAAGGUAGCAUAGUCAUUAGUUCUUUAAUUGUGAUCUGGUAUGAAUGGCUUGACGAGACAUGGGCUGUCUUGGGUGUGAAUUUGUUGUUGAAUUUGGAGUUUAAGUUAAAAUUCUUAGAUGUUUUUAUGGGACGAGAAGACCCUAUAGAGUUUGACAUUUGAUUGCGUAUUUCUUGUUGUUUGUUUUGAAUUUUUGUGCAUCUCUUGUUUUGUUGGGGUGAUGGGAGGAAUUUAUUUAACUCCUCUUUUAUGUGGUAUAUUGAUUUGUAAUUGUUUUGAUCCAUUUAUUUUGAUUGUAAGAUUAAAUUACCUUAGGGA